GAAACCAACAGGGAUUGCCUCAGUAACGGCGAGUGAAGCGGCAAAAGCUCAAAUUUGAAACCCUCGGGAUUGUAAUUUGAAGAUUUGGCAUUGGAGAAAGCUAACCCAAGUUGCUUGGAAUAGUACGUCAUAGAGGGUGACAACCCCGUCUGGCUAACCGUUCUCCAUGUAUUGCCUUAUCAAAGAGUCGAGUUGUUUGGGAAUGCAGCUCAAAGUGGGUGGUAAACUCCAUCUAAAGCUAAAUACUGGUGAGAGACCGAUAGCGAACAAGUACUGUGAAGGAAAGGUGAAAAGAACUUUGAAAAGAGAGUGAAAUAGUAUGUGAAAUUGUUGAUAGGGAAGGAAAUGAGUGGAGAGUGGCCGAGGUUUCAGCCGCCCCUCGUGGGCGGUGUACUGCCGACGCCGAGUCAUCGAUAGCGAGACGAGGGUUACAAAUGGGAGCGCCUUCGGGCGUUCUCCCCUAACCCUCCACACUGCCACCGACGAC
RNAcentral lists this ribosomal RNA (487 nucleotides) under Yarrowia lipolytica. RNAcentral's name for it is "eukaryotic LSU rRNA". It matches the Rfam family "Eukaryotic large subunit ribosomal RNA", at positions 61 to 510 of the family's 3401-position model. Lineage: Eukaryota; Fungi; Ascomycota; Dipodascomycetes; Dipodascales. The record is from RNAcentral.